AAUAUUGGACAAUGGGGGGAACCCUGAUCCAGCCAUUCCGCCUGUGCGAUGAAGGCCUUCGGUUUNUAAAGCACUUUUGGCAGGGANGAAAUUGCGCGGGCUAAUACUCUGCGUGGAUGACGGUACCUGCAGAAUAAGCACCGGCUAACUACGUCCCACCAGCCGUGGUAAUACGUAGGGUGCAAGCGUUAAUCGGAAUUACUGGGCGUAAAGGGUGCGCAGGCGGCUCGGAAAGAAAGAUGUGAAAUCCCAGGGCACAACCGUGGAACUGCAUUUGUAACUACCGGGCUAGAGUGUGUCAGAGGGAGGUGGAAUUCCGCGUGUAGCAGUGAAAUGCGUAGAUAUGCGGAGGAACACCGAUGGCGAAGGCAGCCUCCUGGGAUAACACUGACGCUCAGGCACGAAAGCGUGGGGAGCAAAC
RNAcentral lists this ribosomal RNA (421 nucleotides) under uncultured bacterium. Its description in RNAcentral is "partial 16S ribosomal RNA". It matches the Rfam family "Bacterial small subunit ribosomal RNA", at positions 360 to 773 of the family's 1533-position model. The record is from RNAcentral.